Molecule: ribosomal RNA, 508 nt
Filed under: Glomus sp. Glo9
Lineage: Eukaryota; Fungi; Glomeromycota; Glomeromycetes; Glomerales; Glomeraceae
Description: SSU rRNA
Rfam family: Eukaryotic small subunit ribosomal RNA
Source: RNAcentral
AGCAGCCGCGGUAAUUCCAGAUCCAAUAGCGUAUAUUAAAGUUGUCGCAGUUAAAAAGCUCGUAGUUGAAUUUCGGGAUCAAUAUGUCGGUCGUGCCUUCGGUACGCACUGGUAUCAUUGGUUUCUCCUUUCUGACGAACCAUGAUGUCAUUAAUUUGGUGUUAUGGGGAGUUAGGACUGUUACUUUGAAAAAAUUAGAGUGUUUAAAGCAGGCUUUAGCUUGAAUACAUUAGCAUGGAAUAAUGAAAUAGGACGUUCGAACCUAUUUUGUUGGUUUCUAGGAUCAACGUAAUGAUUAAUAGGGAUAGUUGGGGGCAUUAGUAUUCAAUUGUCAGAGGUGAAAUUCUUGGAUUUAUUGAAGACUAACUACUGCGAAAGCAUUUGCCAAGGAUGUUUUCAUUAAUCAAGAACGAAAGUUAGGGGAUCGAAGACGAUCAGAUACCGUCGUAGUCUUAACCAUAAACUAUGCCGACUAGGGAUCGGAUGAUGUUAAUUUUUUAAUGACUCA